RNAcentral lists this ribosomal RNA (495 nucleotides) under uncultured bacterium. RNAcentral's name for it is "bacterial SSU rRNA". It matches the Rfam family "Bacterial small subunit ribosomal RNA", at positions 899 to 1397 of the family's 1533-position model. The record is from RNAcentral.
ACUCAAAGGAAUAGACGGGGACCCGCACAAGCAGCGGAGCAUGUGGUUUAAUUCGAAGCAACGCGAAAAACCUUACCAAGGCUUGACAUCCUGUGCCAUACCCCCAAAAGGGUAUUUCCUUCGGGACACAGAGACAGGUGUUGCAUGGUUGUCGUCAGCUCGUGUCGUGAGAUGUUGGGUUAAGUCCCGCAACGAGCGCAACCCUUAUCACUAGUUGCCAAUAUUUAGUUAGGAACUCUAGUGAGACUGCCGUAGACAAUACGGAGGAAGGUGGGGAUGAUGUCAAAUCAUCAUGGCCCUUACGCCUUGGGCUACACACGUGCUACAAUGGCUUUUACAAAGAGCAGCGAUACUGUAAAGUGGAGCGAAUCUCAAAAAGAAAGUCUCAGUUCGGAUUGAGGGCUGAAACCCGCCCUCAUGAAGUCGGAGUUGCUAGUAAUCCCGAAUCAGCAUGUCGGGGUGAAUGCGUUCCCGGGUCUUGUACACACCGCCCGU